UCUGUCUCCCAAAGUGCUGGGAUUAUAGGCAUGAGCCACCACUCCCAGACAGGACACAGAAAUUUUAAUGAAAAGAAUCAUGUCACCGCAAGUAAACUUCAUCUUGUUUAUAUUAUUUAGGACUUCACAUUUGUCUUCCCAAACCAUGAAAUAUAAUUCUGCUAACAGCAAGUGUUGUGAAUGAGGAAUGAGGAGAAUAGUAGUACACUGGGAAAAAUGUAUUUUAGUAAUUUUUCUAUUUUAAAGAUUAUCACAGAUUUUGCUGUUUGUGCACCGCCAAAUCAGUGAGACCUGCCAGCUGGUGGUGGUGUGCCUUUGAGAAUUUUAGAUGAUGGUCCCCUAGGAGGGUUAUCAAAAAAGGAGAUGGGUGAAAGAUCAGGAGAGUCGAGAAAUCCAUUUUUUGGACAACAUUGUUUUGAAGGCACUACUGGGGCUCUAGGAUCAGGCAGCCAGAUUGAAACCUGGCUCCUCCUUUUCAUGAGUUACUUAACCUCCCUGGCCCUCACUUUUUGUCAACCAGAUGAGAUGAGAAAUGGGAGCAGGUCUCUUACCUCACAAGGUAGCUGCGAGUGUUGAAGACGUUUGUUGGGAGCUGGGGUGAAGCGUGCAGAACUCUGGUUGGUAUGCGGCAGCCACUCAGCAUGUAUUCAUGAUGAGGGAGGCACUCCAGGCACCCUAUCCAGGAUAUUGGGUUGUUAGCUGGGUUUUACUUUAAAAAGCUCAGGACCUAGAACAUUCUAGAAUCCAAGCACUUGCUCACAUACAUAAUUAUUUCUUUAGGAUAAUCUUUGAUGUAGACUUGGAGCCAAAGGGUAUGUAAAAUGUCAGCCCUUUUACCUGUAUUGCCAAAUUGCCUUGAAGAGUUUCUGCUCUUUUGCCCUCCUACCCAUGGUGAUACCUUAAAUUGGAGUCAACACAAAUUUGAGGGUGACUAUGUUAGAUGGAAGGGAUAUAUUAACAGGUAAAACUGACCAUGGCCCCUGCCCUUGUGGAGUGUAUGCUCUGUUGGUUCAUUUCCUCUGCAUUCUAAUUUUCUAGACUUGGGAUCUUACUGUGGAGUUACAGCAUUCUUAAAGUAGCAAGCAAGCAAAAUAAAAGCAAGGAAAAUCAGUUUGAACAUAACCUACGUAUUUUUUAGGAUGUAAGAGUAAUUUAACUGAAUCAAUUCAACUAUGUUGUUAGAGGUGUGAUUUGUAAAUUCUUUAUGAUUGUUUAGAUUUCUAUAACUUAGUAACGUGAAUACACACUUAAUGAAAGAUUUCAGUAAUUUUUGAUUGGGGGAUUAAUCAUAGUGGGAAAAACUGUUUAGGAAAACAUGUCAGUGGAAAUUAAAUCGCCACAGUAUGUAGUGUUAGGGAAUAGCUUCUGUUCGGCAUUUAAUUUGAGUGCUGUAUUCUGACAUUUUUCAGGAACAAAUACAUGUGAUUCAUCUUCUAUAAAUAUUUGCAGUUUCUUCAAGUUGAAAUGAGAAAAGCCCGUAAAUUGAGCACCAGGUCUAAUAAAUCAUUCACUUACGCAAGAACGAAAAGACAGGAAAAGCUAGCAUGUUAAUCUAAUGAAUCGAAUGUUAAAACACCAAUAAAAUAGAAGAUAUUUGACAUUAACUUUAUAGUCAUUGAUGAUAAUCUAAUAGUCAUAACAUUAUUCUUAAAACCUGAAAGAAUGGAUUCCUGCUCCCAAUGCAUUAUUCUUUUUAAUAUCAAACUAAAAUAAUUUUUUUUACCUAUUUUUGGAAGCUUGGAAAUUGAGAUGUCGUUAUCUAAUGUUAACCCAAUUAAGAGAGCUUGGUGUGAUUUCUCAUAUACAGCAUCUAAAUAUUUAAGUUUUAGUGUCUUCUAAAACAUUAUUACAUUCUUCAUACUAUAGUUUUUUAACAUCCUUUACAAAACUUGUAUCAGCUUCACUUUCAAACCAUGCUGGCAUCAAACUCAGGUGUAGUGGUAUCAGAAUGUUAUGAAAUAAUUUUUUAUUUUCAUUAUAAACUCCAUUUUUACAAUAAACAUUUCUCAAC
Molecule: long non-coding RNA, 2011 nt
Filed under: Macaca fascicularis (crab-eating macaque)
Lineage: Eukaryota; Metazoa; Chordata; Mammalia; Primates; Cercopithecidae
Description: lncRNA (ENSMFAG00000055764.1)
Source: RNAcentral